Molecule: ribosomal RNA, 769 nt
Filed under: uncultured bacterium
Lineage: Bacteria
Description: bacterial SSU rRNA
Rfam family: Bacterial small subunit ribosomal RNA
Source: RNAcentral
UUUGAUGGCGACCGGCGAACGGGUGCGUAACGCGUAUGCAACUUACCUUUUACUAGAGAAUAGCCAAGAGAAAUUUUGAUUAAUGCUCUAUGUUCUUAUUUACUCGCAUGAGUAAAUAAGCAAAGCUCCGGCGGUAAAAGAUGGGCAUGCGUCCUAUUAGCUUGUAGGUGAGGUAAUGGCUCACCUAAGCUCCGAUAGGUAGGGGUCCUGAGAGGGAGAUCCCCCACACUGGUACUGAGACACGGACCAGACUUCUACGGAAGGCAGCAGUAAGGAAUAUUGGACAAUGGAGGCAACUCUGAUCCAGCCAUGCCGCGUGAAGGAAGACGGCCUUAUGGGUUGUAAACUUCUUUUAUACAGGAAGAAACCUUUCCACGUGUGGAAAGCUGACGGUACUGUAAGAAUAAGGAUCGGCUAACUCCGUGCCAGCAGCCGCGGUAAUACGGAGGAUCCAAGCGUUAUCCGGAAUUAUUGGGUUUAAAGGGUCCGCAGGCUGUUUGUUAAGUCAGAGGUGAAAUCCUACCGCUCAACGGUAGAACUGCCUUUGAUACUGGCAAACUUGAGUUAUUGUGAAGUAGUUAGAAUGUGUAGUGUAGCGGUGAAAUGCAUAGAUAUUACACAGAAUACCGAUUGCGAAAGCAGAUUACUAACAAUAUACUGACGCUGAGGGACGAAAGCGUGGGUAGCGAACAGGAUUAGAUACCCUGGUAGUCCACGCCGUAAACGAUGGUCACUAGCUGUUCGAUGUACAUUGGUACGUUGAGUGGCU